Amborella trichopoda is the source of this 2259-nucleotide RNA transcript. It is a transcript of the gene named Cysteine proteinases superfamily protein, with no coding region annotated. The record is from RefSeq and is a predicted model, not a curated record. Lineage: Eukaryota; Viridiplantae; Streptophyta; Magnoliopsida; Amborellales; Amborellaceae.
GCGCUAAUGAGUUUUCUCGGGGAGUAUCGAAGUUCCUUGUUGUGGUCUCGUGGAGUUUUCCAAGUUCCUUUUUGUGGGGAAGGGUUUGGAGAAAAGGUUGUUGUGGUCCGAGCUUCCCUGCUGCAAAUCCCUCGGCUUCCGAGCUUCCCAGUUGCUACUCUCUCUCUCUACACAAUCUCUAUCUCUACACAAUCUCUCUCUCAAGUCUCCCUCCACUCUAUCUGUAUAAAUCUCUUCCCCAACCCAUAUCUCCAUCUCCCCCUCUCUCUCUCUUCUCCAACCCAAGUCUCUCUCUCUCUCCUACAAAAAAUCACCAAUCCAAAUCUCAUACUCUCUCUCUCUCUCUCCAAAUGACUUUCUCCUUUCUCACUUGCCUCUUCGCCGCUGAGUAUUUUCCUCCUAAUUUUCACUUCUUUUCCCCGGAUUAUUCUUCGUAUGCUUUGACCUGAAUCUUCAUCGAUCCUUUUGCCCGAAUUUUCCAUCAUUUGCAUCAAUAUCUGAGUUCUGUUGAAGAAAAGGGUUCUAUCACAUUCAUGCAAAUGCAUAUGCCAUGUCAAGAAGAUGUCUUGAUAGAAACUCAAGGAGAAUGGAUACCCGUUGUUCCUCGACCAUAUUUCUUUAAUGGCUUCCAUGGCAGGAAAAGGUCAGAGCGCAGGCAUCAUCUGUCUUCUCUUCCAAAUGACAACAAGGAUAACCCUAUGGUGCCUUCCUCGGAGAUGAAAAUUGAGCUGAAUCCAUUCUCUGCAAGUGAAAUCUCUCAGACUAAUUUAAAAAAGCAGAGAAAAACCCAAAUUCCUUUUUUUCAUGGGUUAUCCAAGUUACAGCACAAGAUAGACACAAAUAUAUUUGAAUUUUACUUGGAGACCUUAUGGAAGAAGCUUCCUGAAGAUAAGCAACGGUCUUGCACAUACCUGGACUGUUUAUGGUUUCAUUUGUAUGGGGUUGGUUCAUCAUCUACAAAGGUAUUGGACUGGGUUAGGAGGAAGCACAUAUUUUCUCGGAAGUAUGUGUUCGUUCCCAUUAUUCGUUGGAGACACUGGAGCCUUCUAAUUCUAUGCCAUUUAGGAGAAGAUUUGGAUUCAAAAGAAAGGACACCAUGCCUGCUACUGCUGGAUUCCCUAAGAAUGGCUGAACCAAGGCGGCUUGAACCAGAUAUUAGAAAAUUUGUUUGGGACAUCUAUAAGUCGGAAGGGGGGAAGGAGAGCAAAGAGAUAGUUUCACGAAUCCCACUUUUGGUGCCUAAAGUACCACAACAGAGAGAUGAAAAACAGUGUGGAAUGUUUGUUCUCCAAUUUAUAGACUUGUUUUUGCAGAAUGCUCCUGAAAAUUUCUGUCCUUUCAAAGGCUACCCUUACUUUCUCAAGGAAGAUUGGUUUGACCCAAAAGACAUCGAGAGCUUCUGCAAAGAUAUCCAUUCGUUCAGCUUGAGACGAUGGUACAAUGGUGAGUUGAACUUGAAAUUUCGACUUCCUGAGGACUCAUCAUCAAUAUUUGAUUAGCCAUGUGUAGCACCUCUUUUAGUGCCUGUAUGGAUCGAAGCCAACCAUCUUAUCCUAACAUUACACCUUUCUGGCUAUCAUGGGGAUAGAAGUGUCAACAUAUGUCGCAACAGUGGGAUAGUAACACUAUGAGAAGAUAGGUACACUAUGAGAAGAUAGGUGUUACUCUUAGGGCCUAUUUGAUAACUGGAAGCAAGUUCAAGCAAGUUCUUGUUAUCAAACAUGUCCUUAUAGACUUGGAAGGCAGCUCAUGAGGCAACCUUGGUGAGGCAAGAAUUAGGAGUACUCUUAGAGAACCGGAAGGGACACUUGCAUUCUUUUUCUUAGGACCUCUACAUGUGUGUUCAGCAAAUAAGGCAGAGGCAAGAGCCCUUCUUCGAGGCCUCACCCUCAUACCUACCAAUUGAAGGGGUCUCCAUGAAUAUCACUUGAUAGGCAAGGGGAAAGAGAUAGAUAUCUUGGAGAUUGUAUCUUGGAGAUUGAAUCCAUUUUUUGAUAAAAUCAAAGUCCUUCUCGAAUGGCAAUAUUUUUUUACUCAUUGCCACAGAGAGAGAGUAAUUCAAAUGCUGAUGCUCACGCCAGAGAGGGAGUAUCCCUACCAAAAGCAGGGAGUAUCCCUAACCCCUUUUUCCAUCAAUAGACUCUAGGUACCCUUUUCUCCUCCGUUGGUUUUUUUUAUGCCUUUAUCCCACUGUGUUUGAUCUUUGUCAUUAUGAAAGGAAUUUUAACAAGUUAACAAUAAAAUAAAUCAAUAUUAGGA